CUUAACGUGGUGUCAGUUUGCGUUGAAUCCCAUCCAAAUGUGUGAUGCAUUGAGUCAACGGUUAUUUCAAACAAAUUAGAGGUAGCGUUGCCCUUUAAUGAUUCGUUAUUAAGUAUACUCAAAUAUGAAAAGUGUGGUAUGAAAUAACCGCACACACACACACACUCGCUUAUGGAUUUAACACAAAACCCCCCCCCCAAAAAAAACACUUUGGUGCUUUAUUUUGAGUCUUAAAAAAGUGAAACUCCACCACAAAUAUUUUCAAUAUCUAUGUUUUUAUUAUAGAUUCACUGACUCUAGAUUGAUUGAGUCAGAUGGUGGGCACUGGGCAGAAUAUAAGCAGGUUCUGAUACAUAAAUGGUUUGCAAAGUGGGUGUUUUUAUACUUUUUUAGGCCUUGAAAAGUUGUUACAGUUAUAGCUAACAUGAAUCAAAAUUGAACACAGCUCUCUCUUUUUCCAAGCCACCUUUACAGCUGCCAAGAGGUUAAAAUCAUAAUCCAUAAGAUUUCAGUAUGUGGUAAUUUAAUGCAAAAAUAUGAUUUAAAUGAAAUACAAUUACUAAAAAGUAAUCUGGGAUUACAUACU
Etheostoma cragini (Arkansas darter) is the source of this 586-nucleotide long non-coding RNA. RefSeq lists it as uncharacterized. Lineage: Eukaryota; Metazoa; Chordata; Actinopteri; Perciformes; Percidae. The transcript has 5 exons. The record is from RefSeq and is a predicted model, not a curated record.